GUGAGGAAUAUUGGUCAAUGGACGCAAGUCUGAACCAGCUAUGCCGCGUGCAGGAAGAAGGUUCUAUGAUCGUAAACUGCUUUUGUACAGGAAGAAAUUAUCCCUCGUGAGGGAGCUUGACGGUACUGUAAGAAUAAGGAUCGGCUAACUCCGUGCCAGCAGCCGCGGUAAUACGGAGGAUCCAAGCGUUAUCCGGAAUCAUUGGGUUUAAAGGGUUCGUAGGCGGUUUUGUAAGUCAGUGGUGAAAGUUUGCAGCUUAACUGUAAAAUUGCCAUUGAUACUGCAAGACUUGAAUGUUUGUGAAGUAGCUAGAAUAUGUAGUGUAGCGGUGAAAUGCUUAGAUAUUACAUGGAAUACCGAUUGCGAAGGCAGGUUACUAACAAAUUAUUGACGCUGAUGGACGAAAGCGUGGGGAGCGAACAGGAUUAGAUACCCCUGUAGUCC
This 444-nucleotide ribosomal RNA is filed under the name uncultured bacterium. RNAcentral's name for it is "partial 16S ribosomal RNA". It matches the Rfam family "Bacterial small subunit ribosomal RNA", at positions 354 to 796 of the family's 1533-position model. The record is from RNAcentral.